GCACUGCUGAAGAGUCUCACAAUAGAAUGAAACGGCCGUCCGGUGU
Molecule: non-coding RNA, 46 nt
Organism: Schistosoma mansoni
Lineage: Eukaryota; Metazoa; Platyhelminthes; Trematoda; Strigeidida; Schistosomatidae
Source: Rfam